UUGUUCUAGGUUCAGUUUAAUUUUCGCUUUUUUUUAUGCAAUCUUUUAAUUCUUCUUUGAUGCAAUACAUUAAAUUUUCUUUUAUACAAUUUAUGUUCUAGGCUUUUGAUCUUCUUAGCACUAUUUUUCAUUCAUUUUAAUUUAUGCCAAGGCUUUUCUUUUCCAUUAAAUAUAUAAAUACUUUUCGAAUUUAAGUAACUGUCUUUCCGUUAAUUUCAAGUUAAAAAUCAUUCCACAUCCCCAACGUAAUGUUUUUCUUUUAUCAUUAAAAAAAAUCGAUUUCAAAUCUGAGUGA
RNAcentral lists this long non-coding RNA (295 nucleotides) under Phoenix dactylifera (date palm). RNAcentral's name for it is "long non-coding RNA (PDAC_LNC007717)". Lineage: Eukaryota; Viridiplantae; Streptophyta; Magnoliopsida; Arecales; Arecaceae. The record is from RNAcentral.